This 1114-nucleotide long non-coding RNA is filed under the name Eutrema salsugineum. RNAcentral's name for it is "long non-coding RNA (ESAL_LNC001635)". The record is from RNAcentral. Lineage: Eukaryota; Viridiplantae; Streptophyta; Magnoliopsida; Brassicales; Brassicaceae.
UUCACACACUCCCUAUCGUAUAUAUAUAUAUAUGCUUACACAUAUUCAUAUACACACAUACUCUAUGGUGUUGCAUAUAUAUGUAUAUAUACUAUAUACACACAUAGGUUUGAGAAUGAUGUUGGUUGUUGACAGAAGAUAGAGAGCACUAAGGAUGACAUGCAAGUGCAUACAUAUAUUUAUCAUCACACCGCAUGUACGUGGAUGAUAAAAUAUGUUAAACAUAUUCAAGAGAGAGAGAGGGAGAAGCAGAGAGAAAAAGAGCCUGCAUCUCUACUCUUUUGUGCUCUCUAUACUUCUGUCACCACCUUUAUAUUCUUCCUCUUUCUUACCUAUAUACACACAUGCACAUCUAUAUAGACAUCAUAUAUAUACUUUCGUAUCUAUAUAUGCAUAAUGUUUACAAGGUGCAUGCAUUUCAUAUAUCACAUUCACAUAUAUAUGAAGUGAUUUCAUUUUAGUAAACGUUUACUUUCUCCCCAUUACUUUAGCGCCAGUAAAGCUUUGUCGUUUCUGCUGUAAUUUUGAUCUAUCAUACACAUCAUCCAAUAUAGUGCUAUGAGCAUCCACUAGCACAAUAUUAUAUGCAAUUUGUUCAUUCUUUGAGAAUUUUUUCAUAUCAUAUGCUAUUCAAGGAGGACAUAUAUACAAACUUGCAAUGUGAAUCAGUGUCUUAUACAGGCUCUUUUUUUAAUAAAAAACUUUCUUUGAUUCAUUUGGCAGGGUUUCAACUUUCAAGAAGCUUCACUGACAUGGAACAACAACGAUCAGGAUGACGCUGUCUAACAUUGCUAUCUUAAUCCAGAUCUUCUAAGCAAAUUUCAAUAGUAAUUCUGUUCCGCAAACUAUCUAGUGUAAAAAAUGAUCUCUGGUUUGACCAAACAUAACGAAACAAUUUGUUGAAUUGAGAUACUAUUGAGGCAAGGAGGUUGGAUGGAUGAAAAAAGAGUAAAAGUUCUAAAAUUGGACACAAAACAGAAAGUGGAAGAAGAAUAAAAUAUCAUGGUUUUUCUUCUUCUAGGCAAGUGGAUACAAUGUCUAUUUCUGUCUAUAAAUUCAGUAAAACUAAAUAUCGUACAAAAGAAAAAGUUAUCAUAUUCUUUCACACUUUAGU